AACGCGAAGAACCUUACCAAGGCUUGACAUACGCCGGAAACUGGUAGAGAUAUCAGCCCCCUUGUGGUCGGUGUACAGGUGGUGCAUGGUUGUCGUCAGCUCGUGUCGUGAGAUGUUGGGUUAAGUCCCGCAACGAGCGCAACCCUUGUUCUGUGUUGCCAGCGAGUAAUGUCGGGGACUCACAGGAGACUGCCGGGGUCAACUCGGAGGAAGGUGGGGACGACGUCAAAUCAUCAUGCCCCUUAUGUCUUGGGCUGCACACGUGCUACAAUGGCCGGUACAAAGGGCUGCGAUGCCGCGAGGCGGAGCGAAUCCCAAAAAGCCGGUCUCAGUUCGGAUUGGGGUCUGCAACUCGACCCCAUGAAGUUGGAGUUGCUAGUAAUCGCAGAUCAGCAUGCUGCGGUGAAUACGUUCCCGGGC
Molecule: ribosomal RNA, 420 nt
Filed under: uncultured bacterium
Lineage: Bacteria
Description: bacterial SSU rRNA
Rfam family: Bacterial small subunit ribosomal RNA
Source: RNAcentral